Molecule: ribosomal RNA, 440 nt
Filed under: uncultured bacterium
Lineage: Bacteria
Description: partial 16S ribosomal RNA
Rfam family: Bacterial small subunit ribosomal RNA
Source: RNAcentral
CCUACGGGUGGCAGCAGUGGGGAAUAUUGCACAAUGGGGGAAACUCUGAUGCAGCGACGCCGCGUGAGUGAAGAAGUAAUUCGUUAUGUAAAGCUCUAUCAGCAGGGAAGAAAAUGACGGUACCUGAGUAAGAAGCUCCGGCUAACUACGUGCCAGCAGCCGCGGGAAUACGCAGGGGGCCAGCGUUAUCCGGAUGUACUGGGUGUAAAGGGAGCGUAGACGGCAGUGCAAGUCUGGAGUGAAAGGCGGGGGCUCAACCCCCGAACUGCACUUGAAACUGUACGGCUGGAGUGCAGGAGAGGUAAGUGGAAUUCGUAGUGUAGCGGUGAAAUGCGUAGAUAUUACGAAGAACACCGGUUGCGAAGGCAGCUUACUGGACUGCAACUGACGUUGAGGCUCGAAAGCGUGGGGAGCAAACAGGAUUAGAUACCCGUGUAGUC